This is a long non-coding RNA of Pezoporus flaviventris, 1406 nucleotides long. RefSeq lists it as uncharacterized. The transcript is spliced from 2 exons. The record is from RefSeq and is a predicted model, not a curated record. NCBI's taxonomy places the organism in Eukaryota, Metazoa, Chordata, Aves, Psittaciformes, Psittacidae.
UCCACAUCCUCCACUGUCUCUGGUAAGGAGAUUCCCUUUGUCUCUGGUAAAAGGAGUACCAGGAGCCCACAGACAACUGCGAGAAUACCUACAGUGAACAUUGAAGAUAUACAAAAACAAUAAGAAAAUUACUUUUCUUAUUUUCAGAGUUUAUCCACUGAGGAAAGUUUAUUCAGAUUAAGGUUGGUUUAGUAUUUUUGAAGCACAACAGUUAUUUCUGAUUACAUCUGCAAUGUUACAUUAAUCUUAUCAGACACCUGUAUGCUGCAUAAAUUUAACCUAUUCUAAAAAACCCCUUAAAGCUAGAGCUUCAUUUGCAGCCUGUAUUGGUCCCAGAGGGAGAUCUUACAAGUCAAAAGCCUCAGAUAAGUGCACAUGGACAAGUGCAUACAAACUGCAAUGUAAUCAAAAUGUUAUUUCUCAUAUUAGAUAUAUCUCCUUUUCUUCAAGAGGCUCUAUCUAUCUUGUAGAUGCAUCAAUGUUUCUUGAGACCACUGAGAUUUUCCUGAGCUACCCUCUUCAUGUAUCCAUGACCAAAGUAGAUUAUGUGAUUCAGACUAAGAAUUCAUUCUUGGGAAAGAGCAUUCAGAUACAGAGCCAGUUCGAAAUGGUUAAUUAGGAAUGGUUAUUUUGGAAUAAUUUCCUCAAAAAGUAAAAUGCUCCCUGACUGCUGCACAGCCUCCCUUGGUUCUCUCUGAUUUUGCAGCUCUUUAUUCCAGACAAAGGGAAUUCAGCAGCGGAAUUUCAGAAUUAGGUAAUGUGAACACUGCACUGCUGUAUGUGUCUAUUCUUGGGUUAAUCUUUUAAAAUGUCUUGUGUUCUUUCCAUUUUUGUUUUCAGCUAAAGUUGUCAUUAGCACCAAUUUCCCUACUUAUUCUAUCCCUUUUGCAUUCAAUGCAGUCAAGUGUAUCUCCUGGAAGUCUGGUUUAGCCACAGAUUCAUGUUUCCAUGUGGGAAAUAAGUAUUUUAAUUAAUUUUUUUUGCCCACAGAAUUACUCCACAUGGAUAUUUUUUUCUAAAAUGCAACUGAGAAAAAGAAUUUGUCAGUAAUAUGAAGUUAUGGUUAAUACAACAUCCAUGGUCAUAGCUGUACCUGCCGAAAAACCCAAACCAACUAUUUCUUAAAAGACAUUAACCUCUACUCCGGGGAGACUAAGCUUGCUUCUCUGUAAUUACAGAACUUAGCUGUAAGUUUUCUCAGUCUUAAAGCACCUCACACAGUUUCUUUUAUGCUCCUUCAGCCAAGUUAUACAAGCAGACCUGAGCAAAUCCAUGGCCUGCCGUGAAAUCACCCACACUUCACCCAUUUGCCAUUCAGCCUCUUGCUCUAGGUGUGAGGCUUGAGAGGAGCUGGUCUGAAUGGGAGAUGAAGCCACACACUACAGUUUUGCCCUGAAAGAAAAGCU